AGGGGGAGGGGUUUUUCCGGGAAGUAUUGGGCGUAAAGCGUCCGUAGGUGGCCCGGCAAGUCUGCUGUCAAAGACCACAGCUCAACUGUGGAAAGGCAGUGGAAACUGCAAGGCUAGAGUGCGGUAGGGGUAGAGGGAAUUCCCAGUGUAGCGGUGAAAUGCGUAGAGAUUGGGAAGAACACCGGUGGCGAAAGCGCUCUACUGGGCCGCAACUGACACUGAUGGACGAAAGCUAGGGGAGCGAAUGGGAUUAGAUACCCCAGUAGUCCUAGCUGUAAACGAUGGAAACUAGGUGUAGCACGUAUCGACCCGUGCUGUAUCGGAGCUAACGCGUUAAGUUUCCCGCCUGGGGAGUACGCACGCAAGUGUGAAACUCAAAGGAAUUGACGGGGGCCCGCACAAGCGGUGGAGUAUGUGGUUUAAUUCGAUGCAACGCGAAGAACCUUACCAGGGCUUGACAUGUCCGGAACCUCUGUGAAAGCAGAGGGUGCCUUCGGGAGCCGGAACACAGGAGGUGCAUGGCCGUUUCGGUAGGUGCAA
RNAcentral lists this ribosomal RNA (540 nucleotides) under Desertifilum tharense MSAK01. RNAcentral describes it as "bacterial SSU rRNA". It matches the Rfam family "Bacterial small subunit ribosomal RNA", at positions 528 to 1067 of the family's 1533-position model. Lineage: Bacteria; Bacillati; Cyanobacteriota; Cyanophyceae; Desertifilales; Desertifilaceae. The record is from RNAcentral.